GGUAACCGGAGGGAAGUUGCGGUUCUCGCAACGAGGAGCCCUAGACCCGGGGGAAAAAUUAUAAAAUAAUUUUUGGGACUCCAGAGAAGGGUCAUUGAGGUUCCCAUGGCAUUAGAAUGCCAAGAAAAUACUUAGAAAAAUUUUUCAAUCGGUACAGACAAUUUUGACUCGUUAAGCCAAACGGAGGGCAUUUUGGUCAUUUCGCCUUCAGAGGUGAUUUUUGGCCGACUUGUCCAGUUAAGUAAAUAAUUAUUAUGAUCUAAAAUGUGAAUAAAUAUUGCUAAAAAUUGAAUUGAAAAUGAGUAGCAAAGAAAAGAAAAAAAAAAUGAAUUAAAAUUACAAUUUUGACCUCAUGCUUAUGUCACUAAGCACUCUCACCCAAUCACAUUGUGACACAUGUCCAUAAACCAAUUAAAAUGAGUCAAAUGGGCAGAAAAUUGAAAGGAAAAACUGAAUUCUUCUUCUUCAAUUCCCGUAUACCAAAUCAAGAAGCUUUCUCUCCAUUUUUUUUCUUUUAAAGGUUGAUUUUCCUAAGCUUCCUCACCUCAAAACCUUAUCCUUCCUUCACAAAAAGUUAUACCCACAUCAAGGACAAGUGUUUGGCAACCAAGAAAAGCCAAGAAAGUGAAGGAAUUGCUUGGGAAAAUUCUGCUCAAAUUAAGGUACUGGAGACCCCGAUCGUGAGCCCAGUAGACCACAGACUGGGUGAGGCCAUGCGACAGUUCUGCUCAGUGUCUGUGUCACCUCGUCACCUGCAGUGCAUUGGUAGGACACUAGAUGCCAUUUUGUCAUCUUGUAAUUAACUUUUUAUUUUCUCAUAUGUAUUUAGGAUUUAUGUAAUGUAUUUUGAGGUUCAUGUAAAUAAUAAAGAUUUAUGGUUAUGUAUGGUAUUAAUUUGAGUAUUUAAUGGUUGUUUAUGUAUGAGAACCCUGAGAAAGGGAUGUUUUGAAAAAUGAAAAGGUUGUUGAGACCUGAAAUUGACAAAUUACCGAGAUAUUGAUAUUGAGUUUUAUUGAUGA
Molecule: long non-coding RNA, 1019 nt
Organism: Hevea brasiliensis (rubber tree)
Lineage: Eukaryota; Viridiplantae; Streptophyta; Magnoliopsida; Malpighiales; Euphorbiaceae
Exons: 2
Source: RefSeq, a predicted model, not a curated record